This 69-nucleotide transfer RNA is filed under the name Marmota marmota marmota (Alpine marmot). It matches the Rfam family "tRNA". From Rfam's summary of the family: Transfer RNA (tRNA) molecules are approximately 80 nucleotides in length. Lineage: Eukaryota; Metazoa; Chordata; Mammalia; Rodentia; Sciuridae. The record is from Rfam by way of RNAcentral. RNAcentral also lists the same sequence under 2 other names.
GGGAUUGUGGCUCAGUGGUAGAGUGCUUGCCUAGCAUGUGUGAGGCCCUGGGUUCGAUCCUCAGCACCA